AACGAACGCUGGCGGCAGGCCUAACACAUGCAAGUCGAACGCCCUAGCAAUAGGGAGUGGCGCACGGGUGCGUAACGCGUGGGAAUAUGCCCUUCACUGCGGAAUAACGUUUGGAAACGAACGCUAAUACCGCAUAAUGACUCCGGUCCAAGGAUUUAUCGGUGAAGGAUUAGCCCGCGUUAGAUUAGCUAGUUGGUGAGGUAAUGGCUCACCAAGGCGACGAUCUAUAGCUGGUCUGAGAGGAUGAUCAGCCACACUGGGACUGAGACACGGCCCAGACUCCUACGGGAGGCAGCAGUGAGGAAUAUUGGACAAUGGGCGCAAGCCUGAUCCAGCCAUGCCGCGUGAGUGAAGAAGGCCUCGGGUUGUAAGACUCUUUCUAGAUGUGAAGAUAAAUGACGGUAGCAUCAGAAGAAGACCCCGGCCUAAAUUACGUGCCAGCAGCC
Molecule: ribosomal RNA, 446 nt
Filed under: uncultured bacterium
Lineage: Bacteria
Description: bacterial SSU rRNA
Rfam family: Bacterial small subunit ribosomal RNA
Source: RNAcentral